This 899-nucleotide ribosomal RNA is filed under the name uncultured bacterium. RNAcentral describes it as "bacterial SSU rRNA". It matches the Rfam family "Bacterial small subunit ribosomal RNA", at positions 8 to 916 of the family's 1533-position model. The record is from RNAcentral.
AGAGUUUGAUCCUGCUCAGAUGAACGCUAGCGGCAGGCUUAACACAUGCAAGUCGAGGGGUAUAGUUCUCGGAACUAGAGACCGGCGCACGGGUGCGUAACGCGUAUGCAAUCUACCUUUUACAGAGGGAUAGCCCAGAGAAAUUUGGAUUAAUACCUCAUAGUAUAAUGAGUUGGCAUCAACACAUUAUUAAAGUCACAACGGUAAAAGAUGAGCAUGCGUCCCAUUAGCUUGUUGGUAAGGUAACGGCUUACCAAGGCAACGAUGGGUAGGGGUCCUGAGAGGGAGAUCCCCCACACUGGUACUGAGACACGGACCAGGCUCCUACGGGAGGCAGCAGUGAGGAAUAUUGGACAAUGGGCGCAAGCCUGAUCCAGCCAUGCCGCGUGCAGGAAGACGGUCCUAUGGAUUGUAAACUGCUUUUGCACAGGAAGAAACAACAUUACGUGUAAUGUCUUGACGGUACUGUGAGAAUAAGGAUCGGCUAACUCCGUGCCAGCAGCCGCGGUAAUACGGAGGAUCCAAGCGUUAUCCGGAAUCAUUGGGUUUAAAGGGUCCGUAGGCGGUCUUAUAAGUCAGUGGUGAAAUCUCCCCGCUCAACGGGGAAACGGCCAUUGAUACUGUAGGACUUGAAUUAUUAGGAAGUAACUAGAAUAUGUAGUGUAGCGGUGAAAUGCUUAGAGAUUACAUGGAAUACCAAUUGCGAAGGCAGGUUACUACUAAUGGAUUGACGCUGAUGGACGAAAGCGUGGGUAGCGAACAGGAUUAGAUACCCUGGUAGUCCACGCCGCAAACGAUGGAUACUAGCUGUUGGGGGCAACUUCAGUGGCUAAGCGAAAGUGAUAAGUAUCCCACCUGGGGAGUACGUUCGCAAGAAUGAAACUCAAAGGAAUUGACGG